RNAcentral lists this long non-coding RNA (607 nucleotides) under Mus spicilegus (steppe mouse). RNAcentral's name for it is "lncRNA (ENSMSIG00000018446.1)". Lineage: Eukaryota; Metazoa; Chordata; Mammalia; Rodentia; Muridae. The record is from RNAcentral.
CUUCCAGGACCUGUUCAGCAGCUCUGACCCUCUCAGCGGACCCUACUUCCCUGGCUUUUUGUUUGAUGGGGAGAAAUUCCAGUCACCAGCUACACCCUCCCGGUGCAGACAGCAAAAGGCCUGUUUCAAGUGAGGGAUGGCUAGUUCAAGGACAGGAGGGUGACAUCACAAGGACCAAUCUGUAAGCCAGAAGACUCAGAAGACUAAAAAGGCAAAAUUAGGUAGCAGGGGUUACCUGCUCAGAGCAGAGACAGAUGGGAAACUUCUGUCAUCAUUAAGGUUUUAUUGACCAGCGCGGCUGGAAUUUCCCAGAGAGAGGAAUUCAUCUCGCUACCGACUGAGAGCAGACAUCCUGCUGGGAGUAGUUACAUAAAUUCUGUUGCUCAAAUUAAUUAGGAUUGUGAUUCAUUUGUUUAAUGAAGAAUCUGAUGGCGAGAGGCAAGGCAGCCUAGCCUUGCCGAGUUCAGCCAAUCCCGGGUGAUAGUGCGGCAGAUGGGGUGGGACCAGGCCUGGAGCUGGCUGCCGAUGGGCAGAGACAACCAACCAGAAUGCAGAGCUGAAGCCAGUGGGAGCCGCUGCUGUCCCCACCAAAGCUGGUGGCUGGAGG